UGCAUAAAACAAGGCACUAAGUUUGUAAGCUUUGAGCUUUGCAUUUGGCUUAGCUUGAUGGCUCAUUGAGAGCUGAAGAAGCUGUUGCUAGGAGUGGUUAUGCAGCGUCUUGAGCAUGAAGCCGUUUGGAGUGCCAAGGAAGGCAAGAUAAGAACGUUCUAUUAAAAGCAAAGUUGCAGUUUGUUUGCAUGCUAUCGUUUGAAGAAGAAGACUCACCAGAAAUAUUGUUUUUUAUUGGUUGGAAGAAAUCUGGGCUAACCACAGGAGUUCACCCUGUCCCAUGGAUUUAAACCAUAGAACUUUUGGUCAGCAAGUUCUGCAGCUUAGCGGUUUAACCACUGCACCACUGCGGCCCCUUACAUGUGGUCAUGGGGUUGAUGAUGAUGUCAGCAAAGGUGCCCUCCAAAGGCCACAAACUUUCCAGGAUUCCUUGGCUGCCUUGCGACAGAAACAGCAAAGCUCUGAGGCCUUUGGCUGAAGUUUCAGGACCUUACUAUGCCUCUUUGGAUUUCCAGAUUCCUUGGGCAUGUUGUACUUCGAUCAAGUCUGCUCUCCACUUGUGGCAGAGCAGCGGAAGUCCAGGAAGGUGGGAUUACACAGAAGUAUGACUGCAGGACCACACACUGGGAAUUCAAAGUAAUUUUGUAAAUGAAGAGUGGUGCAAUAGUGAAGGUGCUCAGCCUGACAUGCAUGUGAUUGCACAACCACAAUGGAAUAGCAGCUUUGUACAAUAAAUAUCCUAGCGUUAAGAAGCAGAGAGAUAUUUUAUCACAUCUAAGUAGCCUACUGCUGUCAAGGAUUAGACAAGGUUCACAAUUACAUUGCCAGAAUUGAACAGAAGCUGGUUCCACACAGGGGAAUACUGCAGUCCAACCAGGUUUUACAAACCCGGGUCAGGCCAGACUUCUGUCCCCACACUAGCAGAAAAUUUCUCCUGUCCCCCCUUCUCAUGAUGCGUCAUGGGGAGUGGGGGAGGUGGUAACAGCCCUCUGAGUUUUCCGGGCUCAUGGAAAUAAGUUUUCCUUCUUUGUGCCAAACUAAUUCACUUUUACUCAAGGUGUCAUUUGGACACCCAGGUAAAAGUGCGGGAGCUCCUGCUUUUUGCGAACUUUCUGCAUAUGACUUAAGAUUCAAUUACCAGUUUGUUUCGCUUUCCUUUUGCGGUAUGACAGAGAGGGGUGCCAUCUUGCCUCUGGCAGCAAGAUGUCUUUGUAAGCCCUGUACCUUCUGUCUUAUAAAGAGAUUUGUGACUUCUAGAAAGUGCUUACAAAAAUUAAAUAAAUCUUCCAUCUAUCUUUUCUUAAAAGAGGCAUGCAGAGGUAUGCCGUUAGCUGUAUGUAAAACAAUGCCACUUUGAUUUAUGUACAAGAUAUACAUUUUCUAAAAAAUGUGUGAACCAAAUAAUUUCACUCAAACUAAAAAGAGUAGGAAUGCUCUAAAAGCCCAUAACAACAAGUAUGUCUGUUUAGUGGGGAAACUCAUUGUAACCUGAAUUCUUCCACUCUUAAAGAUGAGUGGUAUGGUCUCAUAAAUGAGCACAAUAAACUAAUUUAAAUCUGAUUUAGUAAUAUAAACUUCUGAACCAUUUAUAGCAGUUACAAUGAGAACAGCUUGUUAAUUGACAUUGGGAAAGGACUGUUUGUUAAAUGUAAUCUGAAUUGCAAACGCAAAAGCAGCUCAAUUAAAAUUUUAGCAUGUUGGAGUGAAAAAGGUCUAACCAUCUAAAUUGUUAAAAGUUAAUUAUAAGGAAGAGGUCCAUUGUAGGAUCUUUACAGGUGACAAAGACAAGACUGCUUACUCUUUAAAAAUAAAUCCACAUGUAUAAAUUGUAAUUUAUGACCCUGGAAUUUUUAGUAACACUAGAGGACAGAGAAUAUGACUCUGUCCUAAAAUAUGAUUCCUACAUUUCUAUUGCUGCAGAGCACCAUAGGGAGGGACUGAGGGAACAAGGAAGGGAGGACCUUGCUCCCUCACCUCUCCUUCGUGUGACUACUACUAUUCCCUCUUCCAUUUCCACCCUAGCUCCAACAUCAUUGGCAGCAGUGUCUACAUGAGAUCACUGCACCAGU
Anolis carolinensis (green anole) is the source of this 2069-nucleotide long non-coding RNA. RefSeq lists it as uncharacterized. The record is from RefSeq and is a predicted model, not a curated record. NCBI's taxonomy places the organism in Eukaryota, Metazoa, Chordata, Lepidosauria, Squamata, Anolidae. The transcript is spliced from 6 exons.